GAUGAAGAACGCAGCGAAAUGCGAUAAGUAAUGUGAAUUGCAGAAUUCAGUGAAUCAUCGAAUCUUUGAACGCACAUUGCGCCCGCCAGUAUUCUGGCGGGCAUGCCUGUUCGAGCGUCAUUACAACCCUCAGGCCCCCGGGCCUGGCGUUGGGGAUCGGCGGAAGCCCCCUGCGGGCACAACGCCGUCCCCCAAAUACAGUGGCGGUCCCGCCGCAGCUUCCAUUGCGUAGUAGCUAACACCUCGCAACUGGAGAGCGGCGCGGCCACGCCGUAAAACACCCAACUUCUAAAUGUUGACCUCGAAUCAGGUAGGAAUACCCGCUGAACUUAAGCAUAUCAAUAAGCGGAGGA
RNAcentral lists this unclassified non-coding RNA (353 nucleotides) under soil metagenome. RNAcentral's name for it is "partial contains 5.8S ribosomal RNA, internal transcribed spacer 2, and large subunit ribosomal RNA". The stretch from base 1 to 120 matches the Rfam family "5.8S ribosomal RNA", at positions 35 to 154 of the family's 154-position model. The record is from RNAcentral.